RNA transcript from Macrobrachium nipponense, 566 nucleotides. It is a transcript of the gene named unconventional myosin-VI-like, with no coding region annotated. Lineage: Eukaryota; Metazoa; Arthropoda; Malacostraca; Decapoda; Palaemonidae. The record is from RefSeq and is a predicted model, not a curated record. The transcript is spliced from 3 exons.
UGUGCUGGUGCUGGUCAACGCCACUCGCUGUGUAGCGAUCCCAAGCGACGGGUGUCUCUAGUACUAUAGUGUCUGUGGGGUCUCUCUUAUGCUUGUGCGUUUUUUGCGUGCGCGCGCACGCGAUUGGUCCUAGGUUUCCGUUGUGAGUGUUAAAGUAAGAUUUAUAUUGGUGCUGUGAAGCAGCGGUUGGUGGUGGCGUUUGUGCCUUGGACGGGCGAUUUCAAAUCAGAAAACAUAGACCUAUUUCCUCCAAGUUUCGGAACCUGCCGGAGUGUGCCGGUUGGACUGACAGGGUAUGGAGGGGACCCAGAAGGUGUGGGUGACCGAUCAGACCCAUGGCUUCAUCUUGGGCAACAUCACAGACCUCACCAGCGAAGGGGUGACGGUGCAGCCAGUGGCCAGAGGCAGCAAACCUGUUGCAGUCGACUAUGAGAGAGUUUAUCCUGCUGAAGAAGAUGACUCCAAGAUGUGGACGACAACUGUGCCCUUAUGUACCUCAAUGAAGCUACGCUUCUCAACAACGUUAAAUUACGAUAUAGCAGAGACAAAAUUUAUGUGAGUUGUCC